UCCUGGUUAUAAAUCAAAAUUAAAUUUACCAGAGUACUAUGAAUAUUAUAAAAUUUAAAACUCAAAGGACUUGGCGGUGUUUUAGACCACUUAGGGGAACCUGUCCCAUAAUCGAUAAUCCGCGUUACACCUAACCUUUUUUUGCUUUCAGCUUGUAUAUCGUUGUCGUCAGGUAACUUUUUAGAAAUUAGAAGUUAGCUAAAAAUAGUGAGUUUAAACGUCAAAUCAAGGUGCAGCUAAUAGAAAGGUGAGGAUGGGUUACAAUUAUUUUAAUUAUAAUUACAGAAAAUCAUAAGAAUUAAUGAUAAUGAAGGAGGACUUAAAAGUAAAUUAGACUAUAUAAAUAAUUUGAAUAAGGCUCUGAAAUGUGCACACAUCGCCCGUCGCUCUUGUUGGAAAAUAAGAUAAGUCGUAACAUAGUAGGGGUAAUGGAAAUUGCCCCUAAACU
This 448-nucleotide ribosomal RNA is filed under the name Cryptogemma periscelida. RNAcentral describes it as "Gemmula periscelida partial small subunit ribosomal RNA". It matches the Rfam family "Microsporidia small subunit ribosomal RNA", at positions 752 to 1303 of the family's 1311-position model. The record is from RNAcentral. Lineage: Eukaryota; Metazoa; Mollusca; Gastropoda; Neogastropoda; Turridae.